UCUUUGCGCCCUUUCAUUUUUCUAUACGUUUCUAAGUUUUGAUUCUCACUUUCUCUUUUACACAUUUAUCGAAAAUGUAUAGCCAUGGAACAUGAAAAGCCACUACUCAAUAACAAUAAACACACCUUCCCAUAUCUCUUUGAUCCAUUUUACGAAGUGCAUCGUUACAAAAGAGAGAAAUACCUCUUCAUUUCAAUACCACAAAGCAUCUGCCUCUCCAACCUUCAAUUUUUACUAACAACAAAUUUGCAGAAGAAAAUAAAUGCAGCAUCCAUCACCAAUGGGUACAACAAAACCAUGGAGAAAAACAAAAACAGAAGCAGCGAGAACACAAAAAAUAGAAGGGAAAAAGCAGUGCUGCCGGAAAUCAGAUCUGACACGUCCACUCGUGCGAACAUCGCUCCGCCUUCGCAAACCCGUUGGCAACUACAACGCGACAACCACCGUAGACGCACAAAGCUUCAUCCGACAUUCUUGCUUUGUUAAUAAACUGUGAGUUCAUUGACUUAAAAAUGGAGUCACUUUCUACUGGUAAUACUAUGAUGGUAGCCAGGGACUCAUCAAACUAGGUUUGUUUCUAACUAUAUAAUUAAUUUUAUAUUUUAUUUCAAACUAUAAGCUACUGGACUUAAUUUUCUAUUUAGUUUUUCAUUUUGAAUCAUUCUAAUCCUAAUUACUAUUCUGUGUUAGGUUUUGCUGCAAUUAGAUAUGUUUCACAAUGGACUUUCUAGGAUGUUCGAGUGCAACACUGUAAAGUGUUAUGUUUGGGUUACUCUCAAACUAUGUGUGUGUGCUGAUGAUGUAUUGUUUGUUAGAUUGUGAAAGUUUUGGAUUUAUAGGUUCUGAAACUUACUUUUUGUUUGUAUGUUUGUUGUUUUUGAUUUUGUGUUUUUUUCUCUUUUCAGCAUCCUUGAAAUCUAAAUUUGGUUGGAUAAACCAACUCUUGGCAUUGCUCUCAUGAAUUUGAGGUAUAAAGAUGAAUGUGCAGUUGAAUCAAGGGGUAAAGUCAACGAUCCUGAUUUUGAUACCGAGAGUUAGCCAAGUUGAUGUUGCAAGAUCUUCUCCGAGUUGUUUGAAUCUUGAAGAAUGGGCUCAUAUGCCUCAUGCUGCCGAUAUGUAUGUUCUUGGUGAUUGAUAAGUUGAAUGUGGUUGAUAAGCUAUUGUUGCUUGAGAGAUUGAACAGCGUGAUAUGCAGUUCGUUGACAGAGUAUUUUGGAUAGAAGGUGAGGAAGAGGAUUCUGAUUACGAUGGCGAUGGCGAUCCUGAUGAUUAGAAUCAAUAGGAGGCUGCAUAGCCAACAGAAGAAUCAGCAUCAACAACUUCUUCUUUUCUUUGGUGAUUUUAGAUAAUGGUUCAUAGGAAUACUAGGUUGUUGUGC
Vicia villosa (hairy vetch) is the source of this 1378-nucleotide long non-coding RNA. RefSeq lists it as uncharacterized. The transcript has 3 exons. The record is from RefSeq and is a predicted model, not a curated record. NCBI's taxonomy places the organism in Eukaryota, Viridiplantae, Streptophyta, Magnoliopsida, Fabales, Fabaceae.